GACGAACGCUGGCGGCGUGCUUAACACAUGCAAGUCGAACGGUGAAGCGCCUUCCUUUUUGGUGGGUGUGGAUGAGUGGCGAACGGGUGAGUAACACGUGAGUAACCUGCCCCCUUCUUCUGGAUAACCGCAUGAAAGUGUGGCUAGUACGGGAUAUUCUGGGUCUGUCGCAUGAUGGGUCUGGGAAGGAUAUUGUUUCGGUGGGGGGUGGGCUCGCGGCCUAUCAGCUUGUUGGUGGGGUGAUGGCCUACCAAGGCGGUGACGGGUAGCCGGCCUGAGAGGGUGGACGGUCACACUGGGACUGAGACACGGCCCAGACUCCUACGGGAGGCAGCAGUGGGGAAUAUUGCACAAUGGGCGCAAGCCUGAUGCAGCGACGCCGCGUGAGGGAUGGAGGCCUUCGGGUUGUGAACCUCUUUCGCCAGUGAAGCAGGCCUGCCUCGUUUGUGGGUGGGUUGACGGUAGCUGGAUAAGAAGCGCCGGCUAACUACGUG
RNAcentral lists this ribosomal RNA (494 nucleotides) under uncultured bacterium. RNAcentral describes it as "partial 16S ribosomal RNA". It matches the Rfam family "Bacterial small subunit ribosomal RNA", at positions 28 to 507 of the family's 1533-position model. The record is from RNAcentral.